GCGGGUGUGGCGAAAUUGGUAGACGCGCUAGAUUUAGGUUCUAGUGACCUUUGGUCGUGGGGGUUCAAGUCCCUCCACCCGCA
Molecule: non-coding RNA, 83 nt
Organism: Stylophora pistillata
Lineage: Eukaryota; Metazoa; Cnidaria; Anthozoa; Scleractinia; Pocilloporidae
Source: the annotation of a RefSeq genome assembly